CGGGGUGUUUUUGAUGGCACCGUAGAAAACAUGCACCUGCGUUGGAAGUACAGGGAGUUGGUCAAGAUAAUUAUAAAGGGGAAGAGCUUUCAACAAGUCAAGCAUAUUGCAAUCUCUCUUGAGGCAGAGAGUGGUGGGGUGUUAAUUUUCUUUGGAUAAAACUUCUAAAGGCUAUGCAAUUGUCGUCUAUCGUGGGAAAAACUAUCAGUGCCCACAAACGUUGAGGCCUAAGAACCUGUUGACAAGGAGGCAGGCAUGAGCGCAUUCGAUCGAGCUUCAAAGGUGUAAGGCUCUGAAUCAUCAUAUUUCGGAUCUACGAAAAAGAAUUGAGAUUAUGAAAUAUGAACUGGAACAAAUGGAGACUAUUAAGGAUGUGGGCGAUGAAGGCCUGUACUCCUAGUUGGAUGAUGCAUAUUCUUCUGAAGAUGAUGUGGAGGAUGAAGGUGAAGAGGCAUAGCUUUUUCAUAUGACUACAUUGUUUGUAUGAUGAAAUUGAUUUUCAACCAUGUGCAGUAAGCUUUUGGAUCAAAGCGAAGCUGAGAAUAUGGUGUUAGUUGAUGGAAAAUUGAUAACCAGUAGAGGCACAUCCAUGGAGUUCUCGCUUGCGAUUGUUGAGAAGCUAUUUGGCUACGAGAAGGUAUUGGAUCUUGUUGUCAAUGAGAACUUUAAAUAGACAUGUAACUAUUAUGUUGGCAUUGUACUUUUGUGAAUGGAUUGAAAUGAAUGAUUGUAUUUGAAUGAAUGAA
Magnolia sinica is the source of this 746-nucleotide long non-coding RNA. RefSeq lists it as uncharacterized. The record is from RefSeq and is a predicted model, not a curated record. Lineage: Eukaryota; Viridiplantae; Streptophyta; Magnoliopsida; Magnoliales; Magnoliaceae. The transcript is spliced from 4 exons.